RNAcentral lists this ribosomal RNA (253 nucleotides) under uncultured bacterium. RNAcentral's name for it is "partial 16S ribosomal RNA". It matches the Rfam family "Bacterial small subunit ribosomal RNA", at positions 524 to 776 of the family's 1533-position model. The record is from RNAcentral.
UACGAAGGGGGCUAGCGUUGCUCGGAAUGACUGGGCGUAAAGGGCGCGUAGGCGGCUUGCAUAGUCGGAUGUGAAAUUCCUGGGCUUAACCUGGGGGCUGCAUUCGAUACGUGCGGGCUGGAGUGCGGAAGAGGGUCGUGGAAUUCCCAGUGUAGAGGUGAAAUGCGCAGAUAUCAGGAAGAACACCCGUGGCGAAGGCGGUUCUCUGGGACGGUACUGACGCUGAGACGCGAAAGCGUGGGGAGCGAACAGG